RNAcentral lists this ribosomal RNA (399 nucleotides) under uncultured bacterium. Its description in RNAcentral is "bacterial SSU rRNA". It matches the Rfam family "Bacterial small subunit ribosomal RNA", at positions 30 to 430 of the family's 1533-position model. The record is from RNAcentral.
AUUGAACGCUGGCGGCAUGCCUUACACAUGCAAGUCGAACGGCAGCGCGGGGCAACCUGGCGGCGAGUGGCGAACGGGUGAGUAAUAUAUCGGAACAUACCCUAGAGUGGGGGAUAACGUAGCGAAAGUUACGCUAAUACCGCAUACGCACUAAGGUGGAAAGUGGGGGAUUCGCAAGAACCUCAUGCUCAUGGAGUGGCCGAUAUCUGAUUAGCUAGUUGGUGAGGUAAAGGCUCGCCAAGGCGACGAUCAGUAGCUGGUUUGAGAGAACGACCAGCCACACUGGAACUGAGACACGGUCCAGACUCCUACGGAGGCAGCAGUGGGGAAUUUUGGACAAUGGGGGCAACCCUGAUCCAGCAAUGCCGCGUGAGUGAAGAAGGCCUUCGGGUUGUAAAG